AACGAACGCUGGCGGCAUGCCUAAUACAUGCAAGUCGAACGAGAUCUUCGGAUCUAGUGGCGCACGGGUGCGUAACGCGUGGGAAUCUGCCCUUGGGUUCGGAAUAACUUCGGGAAACUGAAGCUAAUACCGGAUGAUGACGUAAGUCCAAAGAUUUAUCGCCCAAGGAUGAGCACGCGUAGGAUUAGCUAGUUGGUAAGGUAAAGGCUCACCAAGGCGACGAUCCUUAGCUGGUCUGAGAUGAUGAUCAGCCACACUGGGACUGAGACGCGGCCCACACUCCUACGGGAGGCAGCAGUAGGGAAUAUUUGACAAUGGGAGCAACCUUGAUCCAGCAAUGCCGCGUGAGUGAUGAAGGCCUUAGGGUUGUAAAGCUCUUUUACCUGGGAUGAUAAUGACAGUACCGGUAGAAUAGGCCACGGCUAACGCCGUGCCAGCAGCGGCAGUAA
This 449-nucleotide ribosomal RNA is filed under the name uncultured bacterium. RNAcentral describes it as "partial 16S ribosomal RNA". It matches the Rfam family "Bacterial small subunit ribosomal RNA", at positions 29 to 523 of the family's 1533-position model. The record is from RNAcentral.